AACGGUAUGCAAAAACCAUUGUAUGCAGUACCCGAACUGAACAUCACUUUGAAGUUGGUUGUCAUUGAUUUUAUUUUCACUGCUUCUCCAUUUCUAUAUCAUACGAUGAAAGCAGCUGCCUCUGCAUCAAUAAUCAACUAUCAAUUUGAGAUGAAGACUACCUGUUCCUCUCAAAGAUAAGAGAAGAGGGGGGAAAUGCGCAAGACAAGUAACAAUACACAUGUAGGGGGGAUGACCUUUAUAUGCAAAAUACUUUUCCCAUAUGAAACUGAUGCAUCUAAUACAGCAUCCUAGCACUUCCCUGAACCCAAACACAAAUUUCUUAUAAAUCAAGCAAAUAUUUUUUUUUUAAAAAGCCACUCUGGGCUGGAACGAUACCAGAAAAGCUUAUACAGUGGUAAUUGGAAUAUUGACAGAAAAGUCACCAGGAGGUUCAUGCUUCUGGAACAAGUCAUCAUAAGGAAGUGCAAGUCCCAAGACAAGUGUGAGUAUGUUGUAUAUGAAGAAAUAGGCAUAACAUGAUGAAAUGAGUAUGAGGGGCAAGUUAGUCAAUACCAAUAAUAGAUAUUUGUUAGGCAAGUUUGUUAGUACAGUUAGUAGAAGUUAGUUACAGUUUGUUAGAUGAUGCUGUAUAUAUACAGAAUAAUGUACCAAUACAAUGUAUCAGUUUUCACUCAUUUUCUUUGAAUAAAAGUUCUCUCUCUUUUCUUCUUAGCAGAGCUUUCUCUAAUGGCUAUCAAUGGAAGUCUAGUGAAUUGAGUGUUAACUGUUCAUAGAAUUUAUCAUGGUAUCAGAGCGUAUGACCACUAUUGUGAGUUCGAAUCGAUUGUUUUAGAUAGAGGAGCAUUGUAAUUGGAAGAUAAGUGAGAUUGAUGAAGCAGAAUAGUAAUGGCAGCCACGAAGAUCGACCAUACACAUGCACUCUUCAUUCAUCCUUCAGAUACAACUGGAGGUCCAAUUGUUCCUAUCCAAUUAACAGGAUCUGAAAAUUACUCGAUCUGGAGCAGGUCAAUGCGAAUCCAAUUGCUUGGAAAGAACAAGCUGGGGAUUGUGGAUGGAACCUAGAAGAAAGAGGAUUUUUCUUCAGAUUUAGCUCACCAAUGGGAUAGAUGUGAUGCCGUUGUGAUUGGAUGGAUACUGGGAUCAGUGACAAAGGAACUACAUGCAGGGAUUGUCUAUGCAGAAAAUGCGAAGAUGAUUUGGGAAGAUCUUUAGGAGAUGUUUGAUAAAGUGAACACUUCGCGAGUCUACCAACUGCAUAAAGAUAUGGUAACUUUGAUUCAAGGAACUGAUAAUGUGUCAACUUAUUUCUCAAAACUGAGACAUUUCUGGGCAGAAUUUGAUAGCAUGACACCACCUCCUUGUGAUUGUGCUAAAUCCAAGGAUUUUAUGCUGCAUAUACAGAGAUUAAAGGUGAUGCAAUUCCUUAUGGGACUGAAUGAGAACUAUGAACAAGCUAGGAGCCAAAUACUGAUGACUAGUCCAACUCCUAAUAUCAAUAAGGCCUACUCCAUGCUGAUCGAAAGAGAGAGUCAAAGGUCGAUUGUCAAUUCAGGAGACAGAGUUGAAUUAGGAGCCAUGAUGGCAGGGAGAGGAAACUCUUAUCACAGACCGCCAAAGAAUUGGAAUCUUCAAUGUGAUCACUGUAAGCUUAAAGGUCACACAAAGGAUGUAUGCUACAGAUUGGUUGGAUACCCACCAGGAUAUAAAGGAAAGAAGAAGGAAGAGUUCUCUAAUGCAAACAAUGUUCGAAAUGAAGACACUGGUGCACAUAGGUAUCAAGGAGAAGCUAUUGCCUAUAAUGCUCAAACUGAAAAUAUACAUCCAAAUGUGUGUGCAGGGUACAAGACUGAAUGUUCAACUGGAAAAGGAGAUCUUCAAAGAGCACCAUACAUGACUGAGAACCAACAAGACAAGAUCAAAAUGAUGCUUGACAAUGAUAAGCAACCAGAUUACAUGGCUCAUAUGGCAGGUAUUGACUUCAAACCUUUAUCCACAGUAAAGCAGAUAAAGUGGAUAAUAGACACAGGAGCUACAAAUCAUAUGACUGCUAGUUUAGAUACAAUGACUGGCAUAGAACAUGUAAGAACACAUCAUAAAAGGAAGGUCCAUUUGCCUAAUGGUGAAGUGACAAUGGUGUCUCACACAGGAAAGUGCAGUUUGGGAGAUAUAGGAGUACUUGAAAAUGUUCUGUACAUACCUGAUUUUAAGUAUAAUCUUUUAUCAGUAUCAAAGAUAACUAAGGAGCUCAAUUGUUUUGUCUCUUUUUAUCCUGGUUUCUGCUUGUUCCAGGACCUUACCAGUGGGAUCUUGAAGGGGAUUGGUAAGGAGAGUGCUGGUUUAUACAUAAUGUUCUCACCACAACAUGACACACAUUUCAGUGCUGAUUCGAAUGCAGAGGUUCACAGAGCUCAUGUUGCAAAGAAGAAACAUGAAGAUAUACUGUUGUGGCAUAGAAGGCUUGCCCAUCCUUCUAGUGUUUCCAUGAAGCAUUUGCUUGGUUAUAAACUAGAUGAGUGUAAAUCAAUUGUAGCUGAUUGUGAAGUGUGUCCUCUAGCUAAGCACACUAGACUUUCAUUUCCUCAUUCUUUCAUUUCCUCAUUCUACUAGUACUUCUGUUAAAGUGUUUGAACUGUUGCACCUAGAUGUUUGGGGAACAUAUCAUGCUGAAACUUUUGAUGGGAAUAAACAUUUUCUGACUAUAGUUGAUGACUUCUCUCAUGUUACCUGGAUUUUUCUGUUAAAGUUUAAAAGUGAUGUUAUAUUAAUUUCUCAAACUGAUACACACUCAAUUCCAGGCUACUGUUCAAAUGAUUAGAACAGAUAAUGGUGGUGAAUUUGUGAAUUCUGAGAUGCAACAAUUCCUUCAAGAACUUGGUAUUAUCCAUCAGACCACUUGUGUCUAUACCCCUCAGCAGAAUGGUGUAGGUGAGAGGAAGCAUAGACAUUUACUCGAAGUAGCUAGAGCCCUUAGAUUUCAAGGACAUGUUCCUAUCAGAUUCUGGGGUCAUUGCAUUCUAACUGCAGCUUAUGUUAUUAAUAGAUUACCAUCAACCGUCCUUGGUGGUAAAUCCCCUUAUGAAUUGUUUUUUGGAAAGCCACCUUCAGGUACUCAUCUAAGAACUUUUGGAUGUCUGUGCUAUGCUAGUGCUUUGCCUAGAAAGGAUAAAUUUGCUUCUAGAGCAGUGCCUUCUGUGUUCAUGGGCUACUCUACUACUACCAAAGGAUAUAUUUUAUUUGAUGUUGCACAGAAAAGAUUUUUUGUCAAUAAGGAUGUCACUUUCAGGGAACAUGUCUUUCCUUUUCAGUCAUCUCCUGAGCCUGUCCCCCAGGUUGAUCAGUUUCUUUGGUCUUCUGAAUCAUUCCCUCCUAGUGACAUUUCCUCUAUUGAUGACCCUCUUCACACUGUCACUGUUAAUGAUCCUGCAAGUCCACUGCCUACACAGUCUUCUAGUUCACCACAUCCUUCUCCAUCUCCUGUUGUUUCCACUGCAUCUCCAGAUACAACCUUGCCUGUCUCCAUUCCUUCUCCACCCAGGAGGUCACAAAGAGUAUCUAAGGCACCCCUUUGGCUUGUUGAUUAUGUCACCAAAAAGGCUGCUCAUGUUACUUAUCCACUCAGUGCCCAUCUCUCCUAUGCAACUCUUUCACCAGCUUAUCAGGUGUUUCUCAGUUCUCUAUCUCAUAUACAGGAGCCUAGGUCCUAUCAUGAGGCUAUUAAGGAUAACAGGUGGGUUGAUGCCAUGAAUUCUGAGUUGGAGGCUCUUCAGCUCAACCAUACUUGGGAUUUGGUCCCCUUACCUCCAGGCAAAAUGGCUAUUGGUUGUCGAUGGGUGUAUAAGGUUAAGUUGCAGGCUUCUGGUGAGGUGGAGAGAUUCAAAGCCAGGCUGGUGGCUAAGGGGUAUAAUCAGCAGGAAGGUCUAGACUACCAUGAAACAUUUUCUCCAGUGGUCAAGAUUGCCACUGUGAGAAUUGUUCUGUCACUGGCUGCUCAACAUAACUGGCAUAUUCAUCAGCUGGAUGUUUAUAAUGCUUUCCUUCAAGGUGAUUUAGAUGAUGAGGUGUACAUGCAGCUUCCUCAGGGAUUACCAAGUCAGGGGGAGUCUAGUGGCACUGUUUGUAGACUUGUUAAAUCCCUGUAUGGGUUAAAACAGGCCAGCAGACAGUGGAACUUGAAAUUAUCUGAUGCAUUGGUCCAUUCAGGUUUUGUUCAAAGUUGUAUGGAUUACUCAUUGUUCAUAAGGAAGAAAGGGAAUGAUAUUGUCAUUGUUUUGGUCUAUGUGGAUGAUAUGUUGGUAACAGGUAGCAGCAGUAUCUCUGCUAUUGAGGAAACCAAAGCAUCCUUACAUGAACCCUUCAAGAUCAAAGACUUAGGAACACUAAAGUUCUUUCUUGGAAUGGAGUUUCACAGAUCUUCUAAAGGUAUUCUGAUAAACCAGAGGAAGUAUGUUCAAGAAAUCAUUUCAGAACUGGGGAUAGGAUCUGUCAAACCAGCAUGGACUCCACUAGAGGUUAAUGCAAAGCUAACAACACCAGAACUUGAUGAGUUGACACAAAAAACAGAUGAUGACAUGUUAGAAGACAAGACAAAGUAUCAAAGGUUAAUUGGGAAGAUGUUAUAUUUGACACUUACAAGACCUGACAUAAGCUAUGCAGUACAAACACUUAGUCAAUUUUUACAACAACCUAAACAAUCUCACUGGGAUGCAGCAGUUAGGGUCAUGAAGUAUAUCAAAAGAGAGCCAGCUCUAGGUAUAUUGUUGAGUAGCAAGGCCUCCAAUUCACUGACAGUCUUCUGUGAUUCAGACUGGGCUUCUUGCCCAAACACAAGAAGGUCAGUCUCAGGUUUUGUGAUCAAACAUGGGAGCUCACUGAUUUCUUGGAAAUCAAAGAAACAAAGUGUGGUGUCCAGGAGUUCAGCAGAAGCUGAAUACAGGAGCAUGGCAAAUGCUGUUUCUGAAGUAGUGUGGCUGACUGCUUUGUUGAAAGAAUUGGAUGGCGAGAUAAUAACUCCUGUAAUUGUGCACAGUGAUAGCAAAGCUGCAUUGCAAAUUGCAGCAAAUCCUGUUUUUCACGAACGUACUAAACAUAUUGAGAUAGAUUGCCAUUUCAUCAGGCAAAAAAUUCAAGAGGGGCUGAUCAAGACAGUGCAUGUAGGUUCCAAAGAUCAAUUGGCAGAUGUGUUGACUAAAGGUUUGCCACGACCACAACAUGAAUUCCUAGUAGGCAAGCUAGGCAUGUUGAAUAUCUUCAUACCAGCCAGCUUGAGGGGGAGUGAAGAAAUAGGCAUAACAUGAUGAAAUGAGUAUGAGGGGCAAGUUAGUCAAUACCAAUAAUAGAUAUUUGUUAGGCAAGUUUGUUAGUACAGUUAGUAGAAGUUAGUUACAGUUUGUUAGAUGAUGCUGUAUAUAUACAGAAUGAUGUACCAAUACAAUGUAUCAGUUUUCACUCAUUUUCUUUGAAUAAAAGUUCUCUCUCUCUUUUCUUCUUAGCAGAGCUUUCUCUAAUGGCUAUCAAUGGAAGUCUAGUGAAUUGAGUGUUAACUGUUCAUAGAAUUUAUCAGUAUAGUAACGAGACGCAGUGCUGUAGGUACGAGAAAAUGACCAAAAUGGUCCUUAAUGUAUGGAAGUUGAAUAGAUAUUUGUGUGACUAUAAAUCAUUAAAUUACUGGUAAAAUGGGAAGUUUAAAGUUAAACUGUUACUAAAUAUAAAAAAAAAGGUGUCGUUCUUUUUUGGACUAGCUAAAAAGGAAGAGUAGUGCAUAAAUUGGGACAGAGGACGUACCACUUAACGUAUGCAAAAACUGAAAACCUCUAUUCUAAAUCAUAAAACUGCCGACUCCUUUACAAAAUUCGGUUGAACUUAACUGUGAAAAUCACGCUUCACAAUGACCAGAAAAGGCUGAAACAGUUAAAUCUAAAGAGGGCGCAUUAACAUAAGAAAUUAUUGAGCAGUCAUCAGAGGUGUGGUGCUGUCAAAACAAUCACCAGAAAAAAGCUGAAACAGAAAAUCAAAUCUACUGGAACAGGGAAAGAAUGAAAGUUUUUGACCGAGUGGGUUACAUAUACAGCAUAAAGCAGCUUGUCAGUAAACGGAAAUGACGCAAAUCCAUAGAGGUCUUCUACCAGUGAGAAGGAAGAGAAUCCGAGAAUGUGAGACCAGUAUCUUUACGCCUAGAAAUUCUUAAAGAUGAUUUAUGCAAUACAUGUAUACUUCACUUUGACAUGGAACAAUAUAGCUAUCCUAAGAUUCUAAUAUUCCAACAUUCUACCAAUUCCCUCUCCCCAAUCUCAAAAACCAACCUCCGCUCUCCAGCCUCCCCAACUAUCUAACCUCCACAUUCGUGCUCUUUGCCCUCCUGGGUCAGCACCAAGAGGUAAAAGAAGAACUGCAGUCCUCUGCCUUAACACUCGGCCAUGUCGUCAAAAUGCUACAAAUACAAAAUACAUGAAAACAAUAGCUGCAGAUUUCACUAAUUUCAGACCAACCACGCCAAAUGGCAAAAGAACCAGCAGAAGCUAUAUCCAACCAAAAGCUUAGGUAAACAUUCAAAAGCCAUCAGAAAUCAGAAUGCGAAAAACAUAUUGUACUUAC
RNAcentral lists this long non-coding RNA (6594 nucleotides) under Solanum tuberosum (potato). Its description in RNAcentral is "long non-coding RNA (STUB_LNC006524)". The record is from RNAcentral. Lineage: Eukaryota; Viridiplantae; Streptophyta; Magnoliopsida; Solanales; Solanaceae.